This 492-nucleotide ribosomal RNA is filed under the name uncultured bacterium. RNAcentral's name for it is "partial 16S ribosomal RNA". It matches the Rfam family "Bacterial small subunit ribosomal RNA", at positions 30 to 507 of the family's 1533-position model. The record is from RNAcentral.
AUUGAACGCUGGCGGCAUGCUUUACACAUGCAAGUCGAACGGUAACAGGCCUUCGGGUGCUGACGAGUGGCGAACGGGUGAGUAAUGCAUCGGAACGUGCCCAGAGGUGGGGGAUAACGCAGCGAAAGCUGUGCUAAUACCUCAUGUGAUCUGAGGAUGAAAGCUGGGGACCAGGCAGCAAUGUUUGGCCUCGCGCCUUUGGAGCGGCCGAUGUCAGAUUAGGUAGUUGGUGGGGUAAAGGCCUACCAAGCCGACGAUCUGUAGCUGGUCUGAGAGGACGACCAGCCACACUGGGACUGAGACACGGCCCAGACUCCUACGGGAGGCAGCAGUGGGGAAUUUUGGACAAUGGGCGCAAGCCUGAUCCAGCAAUGCCGCGUGCGGGAAGAAGGCCUUCGGGUUGUAAACCGCUUUUGUACGGAACGAAAAGGCUCUGGCUAAUACCUGGGGCUGAUGACGGUACCGUAAGAAUAAGCACCGGCUAACUACGUG